GGAAGAGUCAAGUCAAGGCCAGAGGUCCUACAGCAGGGCUGGAAAGCACACCUGUGGGACCUCUGGCCUUGGCUUGACUCUUUC
MicroRNA precursor from Chlorocebus sabaeus (green monkey), 84 nucleotides. NCBI's taxonomy places the organism in Eukaryota, Metazoa, Chordata, Mammalia, Primates, Cercopithecidae. The record is from Ensembl.